This 253-nucleotide ribosomal RNA is filed under the name uncultured bacterium. RNAcentral's name for it is "partial 16S ribosomal RNA". It matches the Rfam family "Bacterial small subunit ribosomal RNA", at positions 524 to 776 of the family's 1533-position model. The record is from RNAcentral.
UACAGAGGGGGCGAGCGUUGUCCGGAUUCAUUGGGCGUAAAGAGCGCGCAGGCGGCUUGGUAAGUCGGAUGUGAAAUCCCGAGGCUCAACCUCGGGUCUGCAUCCGAUACUGCCCGGCUAGAGGUAGGUAGGGGAGAUCGGAAUUCCUGGUGUAGCGGUGAAAUGCGCAGAUAUCAGGAGGAACACCGGUGGCGAAGGCGGCUCUCUGGACCAGCACUGACACUGAGGCACGAAAGCGUGGGGAGCAAACAGG